UGGGGAAUUUUGGACAAUGGGCGAAAGCCUGAUCCAGCAAUGCCGCGUGUGUGAAGAAGGCCUUCGGGUUGUAAAGCACUUUUGUCCGGAAAGAAAUCCUUGGCUCUAAUACAGUCGGGGGAUGACGGUACCGGAAGAAUAAGCACCGGCUAACUACGUGCCAGCAGCCGCGGUAAUACGUAGGGUGCAAGCGUUAAUCGGAAUUACUGGGCGUAAAGCGUGCGCAGGCGGUUUGCUAAGACCGAUGUGAAAUCCCCGGGCUCAACCUGGGAACUGCAUUGGUGACUGGCAGGCUAGAGUAUGGCAGAGGGGGGUAGAAUUCCACGUGUAGCAGUGAAAUGCGUAGAGAUGUGGAGGAAUACCGAUGGCGAAGGCAGCCCCCUGGGCCAAUACUGACGCUCAUGCACGAAAGCGUGGGGAGCAAACAGGAUUAGAUACCCUGGUAGUCCACGCCCUAAACGAUGUCAACUAGUUGUUGGGGGAUUCAUUUUCCUUAGUAACGUAGCUAACGCGUGAAGUUGACCGCCUGGGGAGUACGGUCGCAAGAUUAAAACUCAAAUGAAUUGACGGGGUCAUA
This 577-nucleotide ribosomal RNA is filed under the name uncultured bacterium. RNAcentral describes it as "partial 16S ribosomal RNA". It matches the Rfam family "Bacterial small subunit ribosomal RNA", at positions 355 to 923 of the family's 1533-position model. The record is from RNAcentral.